RNAcentral lists this long non-coding RNA (520 nucleotides) under Prunus persica (peach). RNAcentral's name for it is "long non-coding RNA (PPER_LNC004189)". Lineage: Eukaryota; Viridiplantae; Streptophyta; Magnoliopsida; Rosales; Rosaceae. The record is from RNAcentral.
GGACAUCAUAUUUUUCAGAUAGGGCUCAACUCCAUCACCAUCAUUUUGGGAUGAUGUGAGGUAUAUUUGAUGCUAUCUAAGCAUAACACCAUAUACGGGCAUAUUUUUUUAGUGAACUUAUAAAUAGCCCAAGUGUUCUAAGAUAUGCGGACUCAGGAAAUCUCUAUGGUCGCUUACUGGAAAAAGCUAGUCAUGAAGUUUUCAGGGGGAGAUAUUCAUCAGGGGGAGCAUGGUAUUAAUAAAGACUUUCAUACACUAUUGACUCACAGCAGCAGUGUCAACUAUGAUAUUCAGACAGAUGAUCAACAGUAUGGCUUAAAGAUAUUUUGCCAAACAUCAGGGGGAGCGUGCUGUCAAUACAGACCCUUACACACGGUACUCUUUUUCCUUCGUCCAGAUUUUUAUCCCACUGGGUUUUUCCUGGCAAGGUUUUAACGAGGCAGUGUCGCACGCGCGUCAAUAUACACAGAAUUUUAUGUUACAUGUGAUUAUGUACUCUUUUUCCCUUCGACCAGUUUUU